RNAcentral lists this transfer RNA (71 nucleotides) under Loxodonta africana (African savanna elephant). It matches the Rfam family "tRNA". From Rfam's summary of the family: Transfer RNA (tRNA) molecules are approximately 80 nucleotides in length. Their secondary structure includes four short double-helical elements and three loops (D, anti-codon, and T loops). Further hydrogen bonds mediate the characteristic L-shaped molecular structure. tRNAs have two regions of fundamental functional importance: the anti-codon, which is responsible for specific mRNA codon recognition, and the 3' end, to which the tRNAs corresponding amino acid is attached (by aminoacyl-tRNA synthetases). tRNAs cope with the degeneracy of the genetic code in two manners: having more than one tRNA (with a specific anti-codon) for a particular amino acid; and 'wobble' base-pairing, i.e. permitting non-standard base-pairing at the 3rd anti-codon position. The record is from Rfam by way of RNAcentral. Lineage: Eukaryota; Metazoa; Chordata; Mammalia; Proboscidea; Elephantidae.
GCAGUGGUGGUUCAGUGGUAGAAUUCUCCCCUUCUGUGUAGAGGACCCAGGUUCAAUUCCUGGCCAGUGUG